RNAcentral lists this long non-coding RNA (758 nucleotides) under Olea europaea subsp. europaea. The record is from RNAcentral. Lineage: Eukaryota; Viridiplantae; Streptophyta; Magnoliopsida; Lamiales; Oleaceae.
AUUAUGUAAUUGGAGAAUAUUCCAUUGGUAGGUGUCUUAUACAAUUAAUAAGAUUAAUUUGUGAGAUUAGUUUUUUAUGAUCGUGAUAAUAUGUCCAAUAAUUUUUUACGAUGGUUCCUUAUUUUUGAGAGUUGUGGGCAUCACUGAAUGGUUUUUUGGGUUAUGAAAUUCUUCUUUGGAAUUCUAAGCUUAACCUUUAGGUGGGUUUUCCUGAAUAACCAUAGUAAAAAAGGUUAAAGAUGUAAAUUUGACUUGUCUAUUCGGACGGCCUGUGGCUCGGCUCGACCUCGAGCCGAUCAAGCUAGUGGCUUGAAGCACCAAGCCAAGGCUCGGGCCGAGCCUCAUUUUUGGGGAGUUGGCUCGAGCCGGGGCUGACCCGAGCCAACUAGUUAAAAAAAAAAAAACAAAAUGAAUUAUAAAAAUAUAUAGGUAUAGCUGCCUAAUUGUGGCAGUAGAUUUUUGCCGGUUAAGGCAAUUAUGAAGGGAAAAAUGAAAAAUUAAGCCGGCUCGGCUCGAUAAGUCCUGAGCCGAAAGCUCGAGUCGAGUCUCGAUUUUUUGGCCGAACUUUUGCUCGACUCGACUCUGCUUGGGCCACAAAAAGCCCAAGCCUCGAGUUUCGAUUCGUUGACAUCCCUAAAAGAGGUUCCCUCUCAUGGAAAUGGGAUCUACUUUUUCACAUCUCAUCAUAAUCCAUAUUAUAAAUGAGAAAUAAUAAUAAUAAUAAUAAUAAUAAUAAUAUAGAAUAACUAAUAAUAUAA